Molecule: ribosomal RNA, 489 nt
Filed under: uncultured bacterium
Lineage: Bacteria
Description: partial 16S ribosomal RNA
Rfam family: Bacterial small subunit ribosomal RNA
Source: RNAcentral
UUGAACGCUGGCGGCAGGCCUAACACAUGCAAGUCGAACGGUAACAGGAAGAAGCUUGCUUCUUUGCUGACGAGUGGCGGACGGGUGAGUAAUGUCUGGGAAACUGCCUGAUGGAGGGGGAUAACUACUGGAAACGGUAGCUAAUACCGCAUAACGUCGCAAGACCAAAGAGGGGGACCUUCGGGCCUCUUGCCAUCGGAUGUGCCCAGAUGGGAUUAGCUAGUAGGUGGGGUAACGGCUCACCUAGGCGACGAUCCCUAGCUGGUCUGAGAGGAUGACCAGCCACACUGGAACUGAGACACGGUCCAGACUCCUACGGGAGGCAGCAGUGGGGAAUAUUGCACAAUGGGCGCAAGCCUGAUGCAGCCAUGCCGCGUGUAUGAAGAAGGCCUUCGGGUUGUAAAGUACUUUCAGCGGGGAGGAAGGGAGUAAAGUUAAAACCUUUGCUCAUUGACGUUACCCGCAGAAGAAGCACCGGCUAACUCCGUG